GUCAAACUCAAAAUCAUUUCAAUUGGUAACUACUGUUCAAGAAAUAAUCACAUUAAUGGUAAUACAAACUCCAAAGGAUAUGUUUCUAGGAUCAAUUAUUGGCAUCUUUAAACUAAGAAUAAUACAGAAAAUGACUGCAUGAAUCGCUUUCAUCAAUGAUUAGGACAAUAUGGUGAUACAAAAAUUAUACUUCUCUUCAGAACUUUCAACUCAAUUUUUUUGCUGUAUAACACUACAGAGCACUGAACCUCAAGUGAGGAAAUGACAAUUUCCUUCUUUUAUAAGAAAAGAAAAAAAAAAUGGUCUCCAAAUGCAUUCACUAUUCUGCCUGAAUGAAUUGGAGAAACGUAAUGGUGAGGAUCAUUUCCCUGGUUUGAAUAUAAUGGUAAAAUUGUCGCAAAAUUGAACUAGAAUCUAUUCUCAACAGCUUACUUCUGGUUCUGGGUUCGUUCUACCUUUGAUCGAAUUGUAUCCAAAAUUAUCUCCGUCUCAAGGUCAAACAUUGUAUUGACAGCAUGCAUAAUUUCAAGUAUCUCUUCUGGCUUACGGCAGUCAUUUGCAUCAAGUCUAAGGUGCUGCAUCGGACCAUGAAGGAACUUCUUCAACAUACCCAUGCUAAGAUCAUAGACAGCCUUUUUUUGUUUCUCUGAAAUGUCGCCCAUCUUUGACAAACACUUGUCCAGUUCAGAAGCUCUAAUCCUUUCUAGAUAAGCACGCAACUUCUUGAUGGUAGGAACAGUCUCAAGAGAAUCCUUCCAAGCUUCAAACUUGUGCAAUUCCUCAGAAAUAACUGCCUGUGCUUCCAUAGCUUUCCUGAGACGAUCUUCCUUAUUAGCAGCCACAACUUCCUUGAGAUCAUCUACAUUGUAGACUUCUGCUGUCUCCAGAUCUGAGACAGAUGGUUCUACAUUCCUAGGAACAGAAAUAUCAAUGAAAAACCGCCUUCCAACUUUUGGGUCCACAGGGGGAAGUCUCUGCACAUGCUCUUUCAAGAACAAAGGAGCCUCUGAUGCAGUGCACGUGAAAAUCACAUCAGCUUCACAUGCACAUGCCAUCAUUUCUGAAAGGGGUUUAUAUAUGAUUUCAGUAUCCUUAAGCUCUUCACGUAUGGCAUUAAUUCUUUCCUCAGUUCUAUUCACAACCACCAUUUUGGUGCACCCUUUUGCAGCUAAGUGCUUAAUCACUAGUUUCCCCAUCUUGCCAGCUCCAAUUACCAAAACUCUAGCAGCAUUAUAUGAAGACUCUGGAAGCUUCAUUUGACUAAGUUCUACAGCAGCCGAACUGACUGAAACUGACCCUGAUGCAAUGUUAGUUUCAGUUCUAACCCGCUUUCCAGCAAUGAUUGCAUGUUCAAACAGCCCACUGAUUUUCCUGCCAAAGCCAGAUACCCCUUGUCCAAGCUUUUUAACUUGUUUCACCUGGGCAAGGAUUUGACCCUCCCCUAGCACAACAGAGUUGAGUCCAGAAGCUACUUCAAAUAGGUGUCUUGUGGCAUCUCUGUUAUACAAUAUAAACUGGUGCUGGCAAAGCUCAGAAACAGGAAUCCCACUAAUCUUAGACAUCCACUCAGUCACUUCUUUAACCACACGAUGCUGAGACAAAGCCACAACAUAUAUUUCCAUUCGGUUGCAAGUACUAAGAACAGCAGCUUCUUCUAUAUGAUUAAGAGAACUAAGCUCAUUAAUGGCCUGAGGCCACUGGGCUUCUGGAAUGGCAAGUUUCUCCCGUAUUUCAACUGGUGCAGUGUGCACAUUAAGCCCUAUUACAGCAAUGCUGCUCCUUUCCUUUGUAUAUCUAUCAAUCCCAGAUGCCUUGAGUUGUUCAAGAGCGAUAAUAUUGGACUUCUUGGACUCAGCCUUAUCACUUGGAUUCAAAUUCUGAGAAACAACCUCACACCUCAAAGAAAGAGCUCGAUGAAAAACCAGCGACUUCCUCUCUCCCCCCUUCUUGGAAAUCUCGUAGAAGAAUUGCGAUCCGGAACAAAAAGGCGAAGAAGAGGAAGGCAAAGAGACAGUAGAGGAGCUCGAUUGCAUUUGCCUAUAAGCAACAGAUGAUGCAGCGAAAGUGCUCGCAGAGGCUACCGCCAUUGAGACAAGACGAGAGAGAAGAUGAGAGGUUGAGAAAUCUAAAUCCCUAAAUUAUUGGGAGGUAGGAAGGGGUUGGGGUUGGGGUUGGGUUGUGUUUGGUGCGAAACGUUUGACCUGUGAAAAGAAUGGAGCUCGUGUGGGUUUAAAUAUUUG
This 2240-nucleotide unclassified non-coding RNA is filed under the name Hevea brasiliensis (rubber tree). The record is from RNAcentral. Lineage: Eukaryota; Viridiplantae; Streptophyta; Magnoliopsida; Malpighiales; Euphorbiaceae.